GCUUCCUUUUCCGCGCAGUCUCCGAAGGUGGAUGGCGUUUGGGCCGACCUUAGCUAUGCCUUCAGGGCGGUGGCAGCGCCUGCGGCUCGGUCCCCAGGCUCUUCGAGCCUAUAGGUAGCUGCAAAUGAAUGCAUAAGUCCUCUGGUGGCAGUUAAAAAUACAUCACUGCCUCAUAAUGCAACAUGUUAGAAGGAACAAUGAAGAAUUGGUCAAGAAAACAUGAACAGAAGCAAAUGAUACAAAUAUUUGAUGUUGAAAAAUUCACAAAUUAUGUAGAAAAAGACUAAUUGUAAUUGCUGAAUAAUAAAUUCUUUUCUUUAAAAUACAUCCUCUUGAAAGCAUCUGUGUUCCUAAUUUUUAGUCAGACCUAUUUUCAACCUACUUUAAGCAUACUGUUGUCAAAAACUAGCUCAUUUGUAGGUGGUGAUUCUUAUUGAAAUGGAC
RNAcentral lists this long non-coding RNA (444 nucleotides) under Heterocephalus glaber (naked mole-rat). RNAcentral's name for it is "lncRNA (ENSHGLG00000045928.1)". Lineage: Eukaryota; Metazoa; Chordata; Mammalia; Rodentia; Bathyergidae. The record is from RNAcentral.